Molecule: long non-coding RNA, 3011 nt
Organism: Pongo pygmaeus (Bornean orangutan)
Lineage: Eukaryota; Metazoa; Chordata; Mammalia; Primates; Hominidae
Exons: 4
Source: RefSeq, a predicted model, not a curated record
UUAAGGGUAGUGUGUUCUAUCUGCAAAAGUCGACCUCCCUUAUUUGAUCAUCACAAGUGAUGGGGGAGGGUGGGAGGACUCCAAGAAUAAAAGGUAACAUCAGCUGGAAAAUCUAUCACUUGUAGAUAAUGGCUAUCUCCAAAUCCUGAGAGUGCAGGCCUGAUCUAUAUUAUCACACGCCCAAUGACAUCAUAAUGACCCACCUUCCCAACUCUGAUUGUAACCCAUUAGUCAUCCCAUGCUCAGUCACGACUGUAGAUAGUACAGACUGGACAUAAUUGGCAGAGGAAGAAAGAGGAGAAGGAAUAGAAUCAAACCAGAGAGGUCUUCUGCAGCUCUAUUCCAUGUUACUGUCAUUGGGGGUUCAGUCUGACAGAACAACGUCUAACAUCACCAGUCUCCUUGCAGAUGAAAAAAGGUGCACGGUAAGUCAAGCGUUGGAUUUUAAAGCUUCUUGGAUGUGAAACACAUUAUUCAAUUCACAGUUCAUUGGACAAAGAAGUUAUAUGACCAGGGUUGAUGUUAAAGAAGCCAGAAAAUGUAAUCGUCCUCCUAGAAAGGUACAGCAAAUAUUUUGAACAAUAAUAGUAUCACCACAUCUGUUCAAGUAGUUUGCUAAUAUUGGCUCUAGAAUUACAAAGCCGUGCCAGUGGAAGAGUCCCUUAUGCGUUAAUUAAUUUAAGAAAUUUGACCCCAAUGCAGCCCUAAGUGAAUUAAAGUGGGAGUCUGAAAACUUUUUCUGUAAAGAGCCAGAUAGUAUAUGUUUCCUUCUUUGUGGGUCAUACAGUCUCUGCUGCAACAAUUGCAACUUCUCAAGUCCACUAAUAUAGCCAGAAAGUGGCCCUAGUUAUAACAGAAACAAAUAGGCAUAUCUAUGUUCCAAUAAAUCUUUAUUAACAAAACAAUCCGUGGACUGGAUUUUAUCUUGCUGACCAUUUGCCAAUCUCAGAAUAGAUUCAUUCUUGUCUAGUUAGAGUAGAAAUUUGGAAUAGCCUGUUGAGAUCUGGAGUUUUAUCCAUUCUCACUGAAAGAAAUUGCACUAAUGGAUACAAACUAAAAUUUUGUUUAUGGCGGGUCAUAUUCCACUAUAAGGCCAACCGUAUUUAUUUUAAAGCUGUUAGUUCUGGGAAAGAUAUUCUGAGAGGCAGAGGUGUCAUUCGAAAAAUCAUUUUCAAUGUACUCACCUUCGUAAACAGGCUAUAGAAAAAAUGCUCUAUGACAUCUUCUGGGCUGAUUGGAGCAUGCAGGCAACUGAGAAGGCAUUGCAAGGGGUGUGGAUUAAGACAAGAAUGAGAAAUUCUAAUUUAAUUCUUACAGUUGAAUUAAAGGGGGUAGUUACCUGAAAACUGUACUCAUUUCAUCAUGGUCCUGGAAAAAGCACAAAACUAUAUUGCUACUUAUCUUCUAAAUGGACAUAAUCAUGAUCUAGCCACAUGCUAUAACCAAAGGAUAAUUAUGCCUGUAUCUUUUGAACCUUUCUAGGAGUUCUUGUAGGUAACCACAAACAUAGAUAUGUCUAAUAGAGUUGACAAAGUAAAACAAUAUUAUUCUACUGGAUUGAGGCUUUCUGAAAAUAUUUAAUAAAAUUAUAUUGCUCCAUUUUGUUUUAAGAAUGAAAACCUGUGUUUUCUUGCGAAGAAUAGGAUAUAUGCAAAGUACUUUCAACUUUCUUCCCCCAAAAAAUGCAGACCUAAAUACAAAGAAGAAAUGUUAAUUGAUUCAUUGAACUUUUGAAGCAACUAUUUAACAUUUUCAAUAAAAAGAAGCCUACCUCUAAUCCCAGGCGGCAGCUUUACUAAAGACAUACAUUAUAAUUAUGCUUCUGUUUUCAUUUCCUGCUAAUAACAGUGACUAGGAAAGUCUGCUUUCUACAUCUGGAUUUCAAACCAUCAUUCAGACAAAGCUUCAUUAAACCCACCAAACGCUAAAGGUCACUGUGGUUUUCAUAUGUUUGUGUUGUAGCAACUAAAUGUUGCAAAAAUGAUCAGCUGCCAGCCAAAUUUAGAAACACCAGAAAAUAGCAAAAGUAAGAUGAGGACAUACAUGAUAUGUUUAUCCAUUCAACAAAUAGAAACAUAGAUCAAUACAAUAUAGCCCUUGCCCUCAAGGAAAUCAUUCUACAUGGAUGACUGAAGCUUAAAUUGACAAUUAGAAUAUUUCAUGUAAAUAUGAAGUUGAUUUCCAUUAAAUGGCUCGACUGAACUGAUCCAGAAAAUCAUCUUUCUUAUUUCAAACACACAGAAAUGCCAUUUAAAAUAUAACAAAUACACAUUAAAUAUAUAGUUGAGCUCAAAAUAUAAACAAGAAAAAAAAAUCUCCAAAUAAAGAGGGAAGUUAACGUUGGAGUGUGAGUGGAAGCUGAUGCCCAGGGGCUCAUGGGCAUUAUUACUGGCUCAAGCCUUGGACUCUACCACUGUAAGUGAAGGAGACUCUUUGUGCUGAGAAUUAGAAAUGAAUUGCUGCAUAAAACCAAGAUUCAUAAAGUCUGACCCAUUUAUAAAAUUGAAACUAUACAAACUCCUAAAACCCAGGAAAAAUGGCUCAAAAUCUUACAGCCUGUCUGAGGUCAUGAGCAGAAAGAGUGACCCAAAAGGAAUCAUCAUCUCAGGCUUUCUUCCCUUCAGUGAAGUCAGAGUUCACAAUCCACAAUCCACACCCCAAAGUAGUUCAAUGAAAAGGUCUAUUAGAGUUGACUAUUCCUGAAACGACAUGCUUACAACCCAGGAAAAACAGAAUUUUCACAGAAUAUAGCUCCUGAUGCAGAUGAACUUUAAAUUUUAAAAAUUAUAAAGCAUGCAUGAAGUCAAAAAUUGACAGAGAAGAGAGAGAGACAGAGAGAGAGAGAGAAAGCAAGCAUAUCAAACAGAAGAUAACUGGAUAAUUAAUUCAAAAGUGAAUUUAAAGUAAGUGGAUUUAAAAAUGUUUAGAUGAUAAAAAAUAAUAAAUGUUCUAAGAACAAUACAGUAUGGUAUAGGUAGAGACACUGUUGAAAAACAGCCAAGCACAUUUCU